AUACGUAGGGAGCGAGCGUUGUCCGGAAUUACUGGGCGUAAAGGGCGCGUAGGUGGCGCUUCAAGUCGUCUGUCAAAUGGGAGGGCUUAACCCUUUUUCGCAGACGAAACUGGAGAGCUUGAGAAGCAGAGAGGCAAACAGAAUUCCUGGUGUAGCGGUGAAAUGCGUAGAUAUCAGGAAGAAUACCAGUGGCGAAGGCGGUUUGCUGGCUGCAUACUGACGCUGAAGCGCGAAAGCCAGGGGAGCAAACGGGAUUAGAUACCCCGGUAGUCCUGGCAGUAAACGAUGUAUGCUGGGUGUGAGACUAGCGAUAGUUUCGUGCCGAAGUUAACGCGAUAAGCAUACCGCCUGGGGAGUACGGUCGCAAGAUUGAAACUCAAAUGAAUUGGCGGGG
This 394-nucleotide ribosomal RNA is filed under the name uncultured bacterium. RNAcentral's name for it is "partial 16S ribosomal RNA". It matches the Rfam family "Bacterial small subunit ribosomal RNA", at positions 523 to 918 of the family's 1533-position model. The record is from RNAcentral.